AAGUCGUAACAAGGUUUCCGUAGGUGAACCUGCGGAAGGAUCAUUAACACGUAUCCAACGUUAAACCCCCCGUGAACCUUCAUUGUGCUCCCCCAUUCCGUUAGGACGCGGCAAUCCCUGGUAAAUCAUCGCCGAACAGUUUUGAUUCAGGGACCUCUGCAUGUGGCCUGGCAUUCGAAAGAAUGGCGCAGUAACGAUCGCUAGAGGCCGACACGGCCGGCGACCGGGUCACUGGGCUCACGCCCCCCUAUCACCUUUGCAUGAAAACGGGCCUGCGCUUAAUUGUGCGGCCACCAAACUCGAACAACUGUUAACAAUGGAUAUCUUGGUUCUC
This 334-nucleotide unclassified non-coding RNA is filed under the name fungal sp. RNAcentral's name for it is "partial internal transcribed spacer region". The stretch from base 1 to 46 matches the Rfam family "Eukaryotic small subunit ribosomal RNA", at positions 1786 to 1831 of the family's 1831-position model. Lineage: Eukaryota; Fungi. The record is from RNAcentral.